RNAcentral lists this small nuclear RNA (317 nucleotides) under Myotis brandtii (Brandt's bat). Its description in RNAcentral is "7SK RNA". It matches the Rfam family "7SK RNA", at positions 1 to 248 of the family's 331-position model. From Rfam's summary of the family: 7SK was discovered as an abundant small nuclear RNA in the mid-70s but a possible function has only recently been suggested. Two independent studies have found that 7SK RNA binds the CDK9/cyclin T complex (known as elongation factor P-TEFb). The record is from Rfam by way of RNAcentral. Lineage: Eukaryota; Metazoa; Chordata; Mammalia; Chiroptera; Vespertilionidae.
GGAUGUGAGGGCGAUCUGGCUGUGACAUCUGUCACCCCAUUGAUCGCCAGGGUUGAUUCGGCUGAUCUGGCUGGCUAGGCGGGUGUCCCCCUCUUCCCUCACCAAUCCAUGUGCGUCCCUCCCGAAGCUGCGGCUCGGUCGAAGAGGACGACCUUCCCCCCCGAGGAGAGGACCGGUCUUCGGUCAAGGGUAUACGAGUAGCUGCGCUCCCCUGCUAGAACCUCCAAACAAAUCCACAAGCAUGUGGUAGUAUUCCCACUAACCAAUGCAGAGAUGACCAUUGUACCUUGGCUGACUGAAACCGAGCAUCUGUUUUU